GUUAUGUUUUCCUGCAUAAUUAUGUUAAUGUUUGGUUCAUUUUCUAUUUUUAGAAUUCCAGUAAAACUGGAAAACAUCACGCGCCAGCGUACAGGUGAAAAGGACAUUAUAGCUGGGUGGGAUUCCAAGCUUUCCUCCUUGAAAAAAUUACCUUUUUCAUUUGAUGCCACCAAGAAACAAGAAACCAACGCUGAACACAAGAAAAUUCGAGACAUUCUUAAAAACCCCAUCAUCAGUCAACAAGUCAGUAUAAAACUCUGUUCUUACAAUGUAACAAAAGUUUACACAGUUAAAUCCUGUAGUCUUUUAUAACUAUGUGGUUUUGUGUUACAGGUUCAUGUGACUGUAAAAAUAAAGAAACAACUAGAGAACGAAAUAAAAAUGACAAAGGCAAAAAAAAAUGUGAAAUGACUAAGUACAAAGUCUCGGAUAAAAGCGGCUCCUUGGAUCUAACUCUUUGGGGAAAAAGCAAUUUGUCAGUUGGUAAGUGGUACCUUCUGCAGAACCUGUCCGUCGGGGAAUACCAGGAGAAAGCCACACUGAGCACUACCACACAAACAACAACUGAAGAAGUAGAAGAGCCUGGAGCUGCAGCUAAAGCUAAGAGUCUGACAGAUGCCACUAAUGAAGGCUUGAAUGAGGUUGGAACUGGCACUGGAGGCGAGCAGGAAAAUAACAUAGCCUAGCUGCUGAUGUGGCUAUGGCUGAAGAAGGGUUGCACUUCCCCUUAACAACACAUUAUUGAAUAGUAAUUUUUAAAACACAGUUUAUACAACCGACAAAUCAGUUCACAGUUGAUCAACGUAUGUGCAGAUGUACUAUGAAUUGAUUGUACUGCACAGCUUUUAAAUAAAUUGUUUUCGAAGAACCCA
RNAcentral lists this long non-coding RNA (872 nucleotides) under Astyanax mexicanus (Mexican tetra). Its description in RNAcentral is "lncRNA (ENSAMXG00005017510.1)". The record is from RNAcentral. Lineage: Eukaryota; Metazoa; Chordata; Actinopteri; Characiformes; Acestrorhamphidae.